Saccostrea cuccullata (small rock oyster) is the source of this 472-nucleotide long non-coding RNA. RefSeq lists it as uncharacterized. Lineage: Eukaryota; Metazoa; Mollusca; Bivalvia; Ostreida; Ostreidae. The record is from RefSeq and is a predicted model, not a curated record. The transcript is spliced from 4 exons.
UACAUCAGUGUUAUGUUAUUUUUAUGACUUCAUCUUUAUACAGUCGGGUUCGGGUUCGGCGGCCAUAGCGAAUUUCGGCGAGAUUUUACCCCAGUGAAAAAGGCUUGUAAUCUACCUUUCCUCAAACCUGGAAGAUAUGUUUUGUUCCUAACCAAUCCAUUCUCUAAGUGAAGUGAAGCCUGGCUGUUGGUCUUCCUUUGGGAAAUAUACAGGGAAAAGAAAAAAAACUACUUGAGUGUUUCUACUGACCCCCCAGAGAUCUGCUUAUGAGUGCAUGGGGAUUGCGGUGGACCUUCAUCUCCUGUUUAAAACAGACAUUAGAGUAUGACAGAUAAAAAAGUAGAAUCCAUGACCUCCCACAGGCAGGGAGCUGGCUCUGACUGUAGAAUGAGCUGAAAGUAGGAGAAAACCUGUAUUUAUACAGUGGAUGACGUCACAAUGCAUAGGUAAGCAUAUUUUUUUUUUUUUUGCA